UCUUCCAGACAGACCUUGGGUGACCUUGCCGUGGCUGUGAUAACCUCGCAGCUACACGUGACCUCUGUGAUACAAUGUCAUAGGAAGAGGAGGAGGAGGAGGAGGAGGAGGAAGAAGUAGAAUAUGAAUAGAGAAGAGAAAAUGAAUGGCAAGGAAGAGGAGAUAAAAGGAAGAGGAAGAGCAAGAGAGGGAGAAGAAGAAGGAGGUGGAGAGAAAACGGAGAAGGAAGAGAAAGAAAACGAGGAAGAGGAAAGUAAGAGGGAGCUAUUUCGUGCUAGUUGUUUUUCUUUUUUUUUUCUUUAUCUGUUUAUUUGUUGUGAAUUUUAAGAUAUUUAUUACCCUUCCCCUCUGUUCCUCUAUCUCUACAAUCUAUAUUAUCUCUUCUUUCUUUUCUAUUCUCCUUUCUCCUUUUUUUCUAUAUAUUCUUAAACGUAAUUCUCUCUCCUAUUGUUACCUCAUUUCUAUCUCCCAUUUUCUCUCUCUUUCUCCUUCUCUCUCAUCGCCUUCACUCUCAUUCUCUUUCUCUGCGUCUCAGGUGUUUGGGGGUUCCUGAAGAGGCGACAUACAGGGCCGUAUUGCUAAAAAAUUCGUCUCCAAAGUUCAUCUAUUUGACAAGGCUUUCCUAGGAGUUUGGGGCAUUUCCAGAAGUAGUUUUAUGACCCUGGUGGUAGUUUGACCCUUCUUCUGUACCGCUCAUUAGAACCCGACUGACCCCCUCUUUGACCUUUAGAAAUAGUUGAUGUGAGAAGCAAAAAUGUCUUAUAAUACCGACCUCUAUAGCGUCUGCACUCCUCCAUCUCUACCAGCUUCGCCUUGUAUAGUAAAAAUAAAAAAAAAGUUAAGAGAGUGGAAAGUGUAAGAAACCUCAACCCUCAGAGCCUGCAGCGGUGGUGGUUGUGGUGGCAGUGGUGGUGGUGGUGGUGGUGGAGGUUGAGGGGGUUGAGCGGGAUCUUUUGUAUGGCUGAAACACUGGAGCACGGCUGGAAAAGGUUACUUGCAGGUCGAGGCUGGACGAGGCGGGGCGGGGUUGGAACCUUUGCCGGCCGCUAUAUGCUGGCUGUAAUGUCUUGAAUGUUUGCACGGCGAUUUCUGUGAACACGAGGAUGACUGACGCCGGAUUUUUUCAACGUCGUCAGUUUUUAUUUAUUUAUUUAUUUUUGACAGCAGAGGAGACAGUUCAAGGGCGUAAAAAAAACAAUAAUGAAAGAAAAAACCCGCUACUUUUCGCUCCUGAAUAGAGAACAGAAGAGUAGCCAAAAAGAGAACUGUACUUAGUGAGGAGAGGUGUCCUGAUGCCCUCCUCUAUUAAGUUAUGUGGCUAUUUGGUCUAUUUUGGAGUGUUGGAAGUGGUUGAUUUUCACAGAGUUAUAUUGGUAUAGUUAAGUCAGUCGUAAAAAAGAGAGAACAACACGGGGAUAAAAUCAGGAAAAUUAAAAUGAUCUUUGUUGAAUUACUUUUUGUUCUUGUGCUUUAGUUGAGGUCUUGAGGGUACUUUGUUAACAUUCAACACUUCUUAAGCAUCUAAGUAUAACAUCAAUAAGACGCAAAAACAGAAGGAGAAAGAAAACGUAAUGCAACAAGAGGUAAGGAAAACAAAUAAAAAAAGAGAACAAAACGGGAAAAAAAAUCAGAAGGCGACGCAAAAAAACAGGAAAAAGAAAACGAAAUGCAACAAGAGGUAAAGAAAACAAAGAUAAACAAAUAUAAAACAACUAGCUAUACCUUGAAAAAACGGUCAGAAAAGAGACAAAUCAGCCACACUAUUGUUAAUGAAGACUUACACGUCGUUUAAAAAUUAAGGUGUAAAUGAAGAAGUACAAAUAUGCAUCGACGAGAAUGUGACCACGACGCCUGUGAUAGUGAAUAGUGAACUUGAAAAAAAAAGGUGAUUUGAAUAGUAGAAAAAAAAUAGUAGAAGUAGUACACUGACGAAGAUAUGACCCCGACAGUGAACUCGAAAAAGAUUGAUUGAAAGAUAUAGAAAAAUGCAUUGCCUGAGAGGAAGGUUUUUGGCGCAAGUCCCGAGAAAGUAUUGAACCCGAAAGACUAAUUGGAGAAGAGGGAAAGGAAAAGAAAAACGAAAAGAAAAAGAGAAAAUCAUUAACUGAGGGCGGUGUUGUGAAUCCUGGGAAAAUUAUGGACGGCAGAAAAAGAAAAGAGAAGAUAGAAAAGACAACUGAAAAAAGUGUUACUCCCACGAACAUAAUGAACAGGAAAAAGAAAACAUUAAUAGGAGAUAAAAUAGAAAAGUGCAAUGAAUGAAGGAAAUUAAAAAAAACACUAAAAAAGAAAAUAAUAGAGAAAUGCAUUGAAGGAAAAGAGUGUUACUGUGACUCUUACGAACAUAAUAGACGUGAAAAAGAAAACAUUAAAAAAAGAUAAAAUAGAAAAAGUGCAAUGUAUGAAGGAAGUGUUACCGCGAGUCCUGUUAAUAUUAUGAAUGUAAAAAAAAAGAAAAUAUUACAAAAAAGAAAAGAUAGGAAAAUGCAUAGAAGGAAGAGUGUUACUGGGACUCCGACGUAGAUAAUAAAUGCGAAAAAGAAAACAUUAUAAAGAGAAGUUAAGGUAGAAAAUUGUGAGUUCUGUUGAGAUUAUGAAGCGAAAAAAACGAAAAAGGAAACACUAAGAAAAAAAACAGGAAUUAAAGAAGGAAAAGAUGAGGAAAAGAGAAAAGUAGAGAAAAUAAAAGAAACGCAGAUGAAAAGAGAAGAAGAACUUAAAUAACAAAAACAUUAAACAAACAAAACAAACAAUGAAGUAAAGAGGAAAAGAUGAGGAAAAGAGAAAAGUAGAGAAAAUAAAAGAAACGCAAAUGAAAAGAGAAGAAAACUUGAAUAACAAUAAAUAAACAAAACAAAACAAACAAUGAUUCGAGUCAGAGAAAUAUGGUGAAAGAAAAUUAGAAAAAGAACAAAAAAAUAAAAGAUAGAGGAAUGAUACUCAGCGAAUCACUAAAUAAGAAAAAGAAAGAAAAUGAAAGAAAAGAGGGAUUUGACUGACGCUAAAUGAUACAGCGAAGACUGAAAUAUUACCGAGACUAAUGUGAAAAUCGUAACCGCGAAAAUGACCCAAAGAAAAUGAGGUAGAAAUGUGCAUCGACCGAGUGAAAUGUGAACUUUGAAAAUAAUGAACGUGAACAAGACAGCUGUAGGGAAUGGUUGAAGAGGAGAUUGUCUGACGCUGAAUCUCAUUACAGUGAUUGAAUUAUUACUUUACUCUUUGAAAAUAAUGAACUCUAGAGGAAUAUAGAUGGAAAACAGCGCGAUUUGUGUGAUAUAAUGAACGAAAAAAAGAAAAUCACUAAGAAAUGGUAGAAAAGGAGAUUGACUGACGCUAAAUCUUAUUCCAGUUAUUGAAAUGUUACUUUACUCUUUGAAAAUAAUAAACACUAGAGGAAUAUUGAUGGAAAAAAAAGCGUAACAUGUGUGGAAAAUAGUGAACGAAAAGAAAGAAAAUCGAUAAGAAAUGGUAGAAAAGGAGAUUGACUGUCGCCGAAUCAUAUUGCAGUUAUUGAAAUGCUACUUUGCUCUUAAAUAAUAAACACUAGAGGAAUAUAGAUGGAAAAAAGCGUGAUUUGUGUGAAUAUAAUGACCGGAAAGAAAGAAAAUCGCUAAGAAAUGGUAGAAAAGGAGAUUGUCUGACACGCUAAAUCUUAUUGCAGUUAUUGAAAUGCUACUUUGCUCUUAAAUAAUAAACACUAGAGGAAUAUAGAUGGAAAAAAGCGUGACGUGUGAAAAUAAUGAACGAAAAAAAAGAAAAUCGCUAAGAAAUGGUAGAAAAGGAGAUUGACUGACGCUAAAUCAUAUUGCAGUUAUUGAAAUGUUACUUUACUCUUUGAAAAUAAUAAACACUAGAGGAAUAUUGAUGGAAAAAAAAGCGUAACAUGUGUGGAAAAUAGUGAACGAAAAAAAAGAAAAUCACUAAGAAAUGGUAGAAAAGGAGAUUGACUGUCGCCGAAUCAUAUUGCAGUUAUUGAAAUGUUACUUUACUCUUUGAAAAUAAUGAACUCUAGAGGAAUAUAGAUGGAAAACAGCGCGAUUUGUGUGAUAUAAUGAACGAAAAAAAAGAAAAUCACUAAGAAAUGGUAGAAAAGGAGAUUGACUGACGCUGAAUCAUAUUGCAGUUAUUGAAAUGCUACUUUGCUCUUAAAUAAUAAACACUAGAGGAAUAUAGAUGGAAAAAAGCGUGAUUUGUGUGAAUAUAAUGACCGGAAAGAAAGAAAAUCGCUAAGAAAUGGUAGAAAAGGAGAUUGACUGACGCUGAAUCAUAUUGCAGUUAUUGAAAUGUUACUUUGCUCUUAAAUAAUGAACACUAGAGGAAUAUAGAUGGAAAACAGCGCGAUUUGUGUGAUAUAAUGAACGAAAAGAAAGAAAAUCACUAAGAAAUGGUAGAAAAGGAGAUUGACUCGCUGAAUCAUAUUGCAGUUAUUGAAAUGCUACUUUGCUCUUAAAUAAUAAACACUAGAGGAAUAUAGAUGGAAAAAAGCGUGACUUGUGUGAAUAUAAUGACCGGAAAGAAAGAAAAUCGCUAAGAAAUGGUAGAAAAGGAGAUUGUCUGACACGCUAAAUCUUAUUGCAGUUAUUGAAAUGUUACUUUACUCUUUGAAAAUUAUAAACUCUAGAGGAAUAUAGAUGGAAAACAGCGCGAUUUGUGUGAUUAUAAUGAACGAAAAGAAAGAAAAUCACUAAGAAAUGGUAGAAAAGGAGAUUGUCUGACACGCUAAAUCUUAUUGCAGUUAUUGAAAUGCUACUUUGCUCUUAAAUAAUAAACACUAGAGGAAUAUAGAUGGAAAAAGAGCGUGACUUGUGUGAAUAUAAUGACCGGAAAAAAGAAAAUCGCUAAGAAAUGGUAGAAAAGGAGAUUGACUGACGCUGAAUCUUAUUGCAGUUAUUGAAAUGCUACUUUACUCUUUGAAAAUAAUAAACACUAGAGGAAUAUAGAUGGAAAAAAAGCGUGACUUGUGUGGAAAAUAAUGAACGAAAAAAAGAAAAUCACUAAGAAAUGGUAGAAAAGGAGAUUGUCUGACACGCUAAAUCUUAUUGCAGUUAUUGAAAUGCUACUUUGCUCUUAAAUAAUAAACACUAGAGGAGUAUAGAUGGAAAAAAAGCGUAACUUGUGUGAAAAUAAUGAACGAAAAGAAAGAAAAUCGCUAAGAAAUGGUAGAAAAGGAGAUUGACUGACGCUAAAUCUUAUUGCAGUUAUUGAAAUGUUACUUUGCUCUUUGAAAAUUAUAAACACUAGAGGAAUAUAGAUGGAAAAAAGCGUGACUUGUGUGAAUAUAAUGACCGGAAAGAAAGAAAAUCGCUAAGAAAUGGUAGAAAAGGAGAUUGACUGACGCUAAAUCUUAUUGCAGUUAUUGAAAUGUUACUUUGCUCUUAAAUAAUAAACACUAGAGGAGUAUAGAUGGAAAAAAAGCGUAACUUGUGUGAAAAUAAUGAACGAAAAGAAAGAAAAUCGCUAAGAAAUGGUAGAAAAGGAGAUUGACUGACGCUGAAUCAUAUUGCAGUUAUUGAAAUGCUACUUUGCUCUUAAAUAAUAAACACUAGAGGAAUAUAGAUGGAAAAAAAGCGUGAUUUGUGUGAAAAUAAUGAACGAAAAAAAAGAAAAUCGCUAAGAAAUGGUAGAAAAGGAGAUUGUCUGACGCUGAAUCAUAUUGCAGUUAUUGAAAUGUUACUUUGCUCUUUGAAAAUAAUAAACACUAGAGGAAUAUAGAUGGAAAAAAGCGUAACGUGGAAAAUAAUGAACGAAAAAAAAGAAAAUCACUAAGAAAUGGUAGAAAAGGAGAUUGUCUGACGCUAAAUCAUAUUGCAGUUAUUGAAAUGUUACUGUACUCUUUGAAAAUAAUAAACACUAGAGGAAUAUAGAUGGAAAAAAAGCGUGACUUGUGUGAAAAUAAUGAACGAAAAGAAGUGAAGGAAAUGCGAAAAAAAUAACGCAGAUGAAAACGAAACCAUAUGAACAAAAUUGAAAAAAGUGCAUUGGUUGACGAAAAUGUUACUGAAAAUGUCACUGAGGGUUUUUAAAUGUGAAACGAUAGAAGAAAAUGAAAAAUGAAGCACACACACACACACACACACACACACACACACACACAGUAUAGAAGAUAAAAACAAACAAAUUCCACGUGUUUUCACAAGUAUAAAAUAGUAAAAUUGAGGACUGCGAGGGAAAGGUAAGUAAAAUGAAGUGUCUCCAAGCAAAUAAAAAUAGUAAAAACAAAUGACUAGUAAGAAAAUGACAAAAAAAAAAGAAAUUUGUACCGUAAAUGUCGACUGGAAGGUUUUGUUAAGUCAUCGAAGGAGAAAAAAAAAUAUUGCAACGGUAAAGAAAAGUGAAAAAAAUUAACAAGGACGAGAGAGAGAGAGAGAGAGAGAGAGAGAGAGAGAGAGAGAGAGAGAGAGAGAGAGAGAGAGAGAGAGAAGAUAAAAAGAUGAAAACAAGAAAGUAAACAAGGAAGUAAUCAAAAAGGAAAAAGAACGAAAGAAAGAAGGGAAGAAAUAAAAAAAGAAAAAGAAAGAUGAGACAAGCAAGGAGGAGAUAAAAAGAAAUUAAAUAAAAUCAGAAAAAGAAGAAAAAAAA
Eriocheir sinensis (Chinese mitten crab) is the source of this 6579-nucleotide long non-coding RNA. RefSeq lists it as uncharacterized. The record is from RefSeq and is a predicted model, not a curated record. The transcript is spliced from 2 exons. NCBI's taxonomy places the organism in Eukaryota, Metazoa, Arthropoda, Malacostraca, Decapoda, Varunidae.